CCUUCAGUAGCUCAACGGUAGAGCGAGGAGAAAUGAUAGCCUCACAUCUCGCGCCUAGGUUGUCUCCUGGUUGCUGGUUCGACUCCAGUCUGAAGGU
Molecule: non-coding RNA, 97 nt
Organism: Stereum hirsutum FP-91666 SS1
Lineage: Eukaryota; Fungi; Basidiomycota; Agaricomycetes; Russulales; Stereaceae
Source: the annotation of a RefSeq genome assembly